Molecule: ribosomal RNA, 494 nt
Filed under: uncultured bacterium
Lineage: Bacteria
Description: bacterial SSU rRNA
Rfam family: Bacterial small subunit ribosomal RNA
Source: RNAcentral
AAAGGAAUAGACGGGGGCCCGCACAAGCAGUGGAGUAUGUGGUUUAAUUCGACGCAACGCGAAGAACCUUACCAGGGCUUGACAUAUACAGGAAUAUAUGAGAGAUCAUAUAGCUCUUCGGAGCCUGUAUACAGGUGGUGCAUGGUUGUCGUCAGCUCGUGUCGUGAGAUGUUGGGUUAAGUCCCGCAACGAGCGCAACCCCUGUUCUUAGUUGCCAGCACGUAAUGGUGGGAACUCUAAGAAGACUGCCGGUGAUAAAUCGGAGGAAGGUGGGGACGACGUCAAAUCAUCAUGCCCUUUAUGUCCUGGGCUACACACGUACUACAAUGGCUGUAACAAAGGGAAGCGAAACCGCAAGGUGAAGCAAAACUCAAAAAAACAGUCUCAGUUCGGAUUGAAGGCUGAAAUUCGCCUUCAUGAAGCUGGAAUUGCUAGUAAUGGCAGGUCAGAAUACUGCCGUGAAUACGUUCCCGGGCCUUGUACACACCGCCCGU